RNAcentral lists this ribosomal RNA (253 nucleotides) under uncultured bacterium. RNAcentral describes it as "partial 16S ribosomal RNA". It matches the Rfam family "Bacterial small subunit ribosomal RNA", at positions 524 to 776 of the family's 1533-position model. The record is from RNAcentral.
GACGGAGGACGCAAGUGUUAUCCGGAAUCACUGGGCGUAAAGCGUCUGUAGGUGGUUUAAUAAGUCAACUGUUAAAUCUUGAGGCUCAACCUCAAAAUCGCAGUCGAAACUAUUAGGCUAGAGUAUAGUAGGGGUAAAGGGAAUUUCCAGUGGAGCGGUGAAAUGCGUAGAGAUUGGAAAGAACACCGAUGGCGAAGGCACUUUACUGGGCUAUUACUAACACUCAGAGACGAAAGCUAGGGUAGCAAAUGGG